GAAAGUGACAUUGAGAUCUUUCCAUGGUAAAGAUUUUGAGAUGAGGUUUAUCCAAUUUGUGCUGGCAAAUUCGCCUAUCCUCAAGGAGAUAACUGUUGAAUGCAUGAAGAAUCCUGACUUCAACCAGGAUGAAGUAAAGGCAGUAUUGGUGCCAUUAUGUAUGGCUUCAACAGAAUUCAAUUGGGUUGGAGGGACUUAUGAUUCCGGCAGUGAUGAUUCCUCAGAUUCCGAUGACAACUCAAACAGUCCAUACUCUUCUGAUAGUGAUUAGUUCUCAGGCGUAUCCUUAUUCUGAUUUUCAAAGGGGAGUGGACAACGCUGAAAAAGAAUGGUGGAGUUGUUUGAUCUCAAAUUUUUGCACUAGGAUGGCUUUGGUUUUGGACUGAGAAUUGCAUUACAUGAAUGAGAGAAAGCAAGAGAGUUGCAUGACUUGUUGCUGUUUAAAGUGUACAUGAAUAAAUUGAUGAG
This 468-nucleotide unclassified non-coding RNA is filed under the name Hevea brasiliensis (rubber tree). Lineage: Eukaryota; Viridiplantae; Streptophyta; Magnoliopsida; Malpighiales; Euphorbiaceae. The record is from RNAcentral.